AAAAAGUUUUAUUUAUCCUUAAUAAUUGGAUUUUAUUUAAAUUUAAAUGUAAGUUUUUGCGGGUCUAAAUUAUUAAAAAAUUUAUUUUUGCAAUAAAUAGUAUUAAAUAUUAAAGAAAUUUUGAUUUAGCUAUAAUAAAAAAACAUUAACAAAAUUUGUGCCAGCAGUUGCGGUUAUACAAAUAAUGUAAUUCAAUUUUAUUAGCAUUAAUUAAUUUAUAAUAGAAUAAUUAUUAUAAAAACUUUAAAAGGUGAAAUUUAAAAGUUUUAUUUAUAUUAUUAAUUUUUAAUGAAGUUAAAAAAUUUAUUUUAUAAACUAGGAUUAGAUACCCUAUUAUUUUAAAUGUAAUUUUAAAAGCUAAAUUAGUAUUAGUUAUGUUCUUGAAAAUUAAAGAUUUUGGCGGUAUUUUAGUCUAUUCAGAGGAAUCUGUUCUGUAAUCGAUAAUCCACGAUUUAAUUUACUUUGUUUAUUAAUUUACAUAUCGUCGUAAUUUGAAUAUUUUAUAAGAAUUUUAAUAUUCAAGAAUUUUUAUAAAAAAAUAAAUCAGAUCAAGGUGUAGUUUAUGAUAAAGAAGAAAUGGGUUACAAUAAAUAUAAUUUAAGAUUAUUAUUUUUAAAAUAAUAUGAAUUUGGAUUUGAGAGUAAUUUUAAUUAAUUUGUUAAUUUGAUUUUAGCUCUAAAAUAUGCACAUAUCGCCCGUCGCUUUCAUUAUAAUAUGAGAUAAGUCGUAACAAAGUAGAUUUACUGGAAAGUGAAUCUAGAAAGUU
RNAcentral lists this non-coding RNA (766 nucleotides) under Gonioctena intermedia. Lineage: Eukaryota; Metazoa; Arthropoda; Insecta; Coleoptera; Chrysomelidae. The record is from RNAcentral.